ACAAGGUUUCCGUAGGUGAACCUGCGGAAGGAUCAUUGUCGAAACCUGCCUAGCAGAACGACCCGCGAACUCGUUUCAUACUACGGGGAUCCGCGUCGGCUCUGGCCUCGUGGAUCCCCACACGGCCGUUCGGGAGGGGGCAUGCGCUCUCUCGUGGACGGUCUAACAACGAAAAUCCGGCGCGGACUGCGCCAAGGAAAUUCAAACGGAAGAGCACGCUUUCGUCGUCCCGGGAACGGUGCGCGUUUCGAAAGUGGUGCCUUCUUCAAUUAUCCAUAACGACUCUCGGCAACGGAUAUCUCGGCUCUCGCAUCGAUGAAGAACGUAGCGAAAUGCGAUACUUGGUGUGAAUUGCAGAAUCCCGUGAACCAUCGAGUCUUUGAACGCAAGUUGCGCCCCAAGCCUUUAGGCCGAGGGCACGUCUGCCUGGGUGUCACGCAUCGUUGCCCCCAAAACCCGAUUUUCGAAAUGGGCGCGGGGCGGAAAUUGGCCUCCCGUGAGAACCAUCUCGCGGUUGGUCUAAAUAAAACUAUAUCGGUUGUGGAUGACGCAACGUUCGGUGGGAAACUCUCGAGCUCGUGUUGCUGCAUCGCGCAUCCCGUGCGUACCUAUCGUCGCGACCCCAGGUCAGGCGGGAUUACCCGCUGAGUUUAAGA
This 656-nucleotide ribosomal RNA is filed under the name Cardiospermum bahianum. RNAcentral's name for it is "eukaryotic LSU rRNA". The stretch from base 281 to 436 matches the Rfam family "5.8S ribosomal RNA". The record is from RNAcentral. Lineage: Eukaryota; Viridiplantae; Streptophyta; Magnoliopsida; Sapindales; Sapindaceae.